UACAGGGGGGGCAAGCGUUGUUCGGAAUUACUGGGCGUAAAGGGUUCGUAGGUGGCUUACUAAGUCAAACGUGAAAUCCCUCAGCUUAACUGGGGAACUGCGUCUGAUACUGGAAAGCUUGAGUGCAGGAGAGGAACGCGGAAUUCCAGGUGUAGCGGUGAAAUGCGUAGAUAUCUGGAGGAACACCGGUGGCGAAGGCGGCAUCCUGGACCGGCAUUGACGCUGAGGCGCGAAAGCCAGGGGAGCAAACGGG
This 253-nucleotide ribosomal RNA is filed under the name uncultured bacterium. Its description in RNAcentral is "partial 16S ribosomal RNA". It matches the Rfam family "Bacterial small subunit ribosomal RNA", at positions 524 to 776 of the family's 1533-position model. The record is from RNAcentral.